This is a long non-coding RNA of Mustela erminea (ermine), 246 nucleotides long. RefSeq lists it as uncharacterized. Lineage: Eukaryota; Metazoa; Chordata; Mammalia; Carnivora; Mustelidae. The record is from RefSeq and is a predicted model, not a curated record. The transcript is spliced from 3 exons.
UCGUCCCCCUUCUGCAUGACCCAGAGUCCCUGCCCCAUCGGCCUUCUCCCUCCCUGGGAUGACAUGCACCUCUGAUGCCAUCAGCACAAGAGGAAAGAUGACAAGGAAAUACACACAGGAGGGUGUUUCCGGCCAGGUCUUGAAGGCCUCAAGCCCCAGCCCCAGAAGAAGAUGCUGAACCACCUCAAGAGCUACCUCCAGCUCCCACUGUGGUGCCUGAGGCAGCUCCAGAGGCCAAGGGGUCUG